Molecule: ribosomal RNA, 65 nt
Filed under: Escherichia coli
Lineage: Bacteria; Pseudomonadati; Pseudomonadota; Gammaproteobacteria; Enterobacterales; Enterobacteriaceae
Also listed under: 2 other names
Source: RNAcentral
CCUGGCGGCCUUAGCGCGGUGGUCCCACCUGACCCCAUGCCGAACUCAGAAGUGAAACGCCGUAG